RNAcentral lists this ribosomal RNA (253 nucleotides) under uncultured bacterium. Its description in RNAcentral is "partial 16S ribosomal RNA". It matches the Rfam family "Bacterial small subunit ribosomal RNA", at positions 524 to 776 of the family's 1533-position model. The record is from RNAcentral.
UACGAAGGGGGCGAGCGUUGUUCGGAUUUACUGGGCGUAAAGGGCGCGUAGGCGGCGCCGCAAGUCGAGUGUGAAAGCCCCGGGCUCAACCUGGGAAUUGCGCUCGAGACUGUGGUGCUGGAGUUCGGGAGAGGAGCGUGGAAUUCCCAGUGUAGAGGUGAAAUUCGUAGAUAUUGGGAAGAACACCGGUGGCGAAGGCGGCGCUCUGGACCGAGACUGACGCUGAGGCGCGAAGGCGUGGGGAGCAAACAGG